This 775-nucleotide ribosomal RNA is filed under the name uncultured Neocallimastigales. RNAcentral describes it as "partial large subunit ribosomal RNA". It matches the Rfam family "Eukaryotic large subunit ribosomal RNA", at positions 20 to 644 of the family's 3401-position model. The record is from RNAcentral. Lineage: Eukaryota; Fungi; Neocallimastigomycota; Neocallimastigomycetes; Neocallimastigales.
UACUAGAGUAGCACUCGCAUAUCAAUAAGCGGAGGAAAAGAAACUAACAAGGAUUCCCCUAGUAACGGCGAGUGAAGCGGGAAGAGCUCAAAUUUGAAAUCUUAAAGGGUUUCCCUUUACGAAUUGUAGUUUAAAGAAGUGUUUUCUGUUGAGGUUUUGGUAAAAGUUCUUUGGAAUAGGACAUCAUAGAGGGUGAGAAUCCCGUAUUUGACCUUUACUUUCAACUUUGUGAUACACUUUCAAAGAGUCGGAUUGUUUGGGAAUGCAGUCCAAAAUGGGUGGUAAAUUUCAUCUAAAGCUAAAUAUUGGCGAGAGACCGAUAGCGAACAAGUACCGUGAGGGAAAGAUGAAAAGAACUUUGAAAAGAGAGUUAAACAGUACGUGAAAUUGUCAAAAGGGAAGCGUUUGACACCAGUGUUGUUUUUCUGAAAAUCAAUUAAAGAACUGUUUAUGCUAAGCUGUUUAGACUUUAUCAGCUAAUCUGUUUAGUUUUGAGCUUUUCUUUAAUGCACUUUUCAGUUAACAAGUCAACAUCAAUUUCUUUUGCUGUAAAAAAGCUUGAGGAAGGUGGCUUGAGAUUCGUCUUAAGUGUUUAUAGCCUCUUGCCUAUGCAGUCGGAGAGAUUGAGGUCUGCAGCGUAGAUCCUUCGGGGCUAAAUGCAUUUGUGCUAAGUUAUAGCAUUUUAUAGACAACUUGUUGACUAUGAUUUGUCUUGUAGCUUACUCGCUUAUGUUAUUUUACCUACGCUUAGGAUGUUGAACUACUGAGACAUAGA